AGUGAGGGCUGGAAGAGUCCGCGCGCGCGUCCACCCAAGGCGGAGUAAGGGCAUGCGCUGGAAAGGACUGCGGGGACUCGAGGGACCGCACCCAGGACACAGUUACGCGACAAAAGAGAGCUCCGGAUACGGCGGAGGGCAGCCCGAGCCCCCCAUCCCUUCCAGAGUCCGAGAAGAAAUCCUGGCGCCCCUCGACCUUUCCGGGCCCCCGCUAUUUACACACACCGAGGUCUCACCACUCCCGCCCUGGCCUCUCGCCUCGUUUUCCGCCCUCCAAACGGACGGCUCUGAGGCCAGCCCUUCCCGGCUGUAUACAGGGCCCCAGCGCCCCGCCGGCUCGCUUUUCCCUGCUUCCCUGAAAGCAGCCGGGAGCCGCACGGCUUACUCACCAUAGUGGCUAGGGAUUAGGAGGCGAAGGCGACAGGAGCAGACACCGGGUCCCGGUUACCGUCCCCGACAAGCUAAGAGUCGAGUCAGCUCCUGACAGAAGAGGUUCAGUGAGGGCGAACCCCGCCCAGUGGCUCCAACGCCAUAGAAGCCAGAAACAAACAACCCCGCCCCUGCGCCGCCCUGACACCCGCUGCCGGGGGCUCCGGCAGAAACUCACCAUGUUUUCCCGGGAAUGUGUGGGUAUCUUUCCAAAACGCCAAAGACCGCGGAGGGUCUUCCCACGCU
Molecule: long non-coding RNA, 675 nt
Organism: Homo sapiens (human)
Lineage: Eukaryota; Metazoa; Chordata; Mammalia; Primates; Hominidae
Gene: TUBA1B-AS1
Product: TUBA1B antisense RNA 1
Source: Ensembl